RNAcentral lists this ribosomal RNA (292 nucleotides) under uncultured bacterium. Its description in RNAcentral is "partial 16S ribosomal RNA". The record is from RNAcentral.
GGACUACUCGGGUUUCUAAUCCUGUUCGCUCCCCACGCUUUCGCUCCUCAGCGUCAGUUUCGGCCCAGAGACCCGCCUUCGCCACCGGUGUUCCUCCUGAUAUCUGCGCAUUUCACCGCUACACCAGGAAUUCCAGUCUCCCCUACCGAACUCUAGCCUGCCCGUAUCGACUGCAGGCCCGAGGUUGAGCCUCGGGUUUUCACAGUCGACGUGACAGGCCGCCUACGAGCUCUUUACGCCCAAUAAUUCCGGACAACGCUUGCACCCUACGUAUUACCGCGGCUGCUGGCAC